AACGAACGCUGGCGGCAUGCCUAACACAUGCAAGUCGAACGAGACCUUCGGGUCUAGUGGCGCACGGGUGCGUAACGCGUGGGAACCUGCCCUUAGGUUCGGAAUAACUCCCCGAAAGGGGUGCUAAUACCGGAAAAUGUCUUCGGACCAAAGAUUGAUCGCCUUUGGAUGGGCCCGCGUUGGAUUAGCUAGUUGGUAGGGUAAAAGCCUACCAAGGCGACGAUCCAUAGCUGGUCUGAGAGGAUGAUCAGCCACACUGGGACUGAGACACGGCCCAGACUCCUACGGGAGGCAGCAGUGGGGAAUAUUGGACAAUGGGCGAAAGACUGAUCCAUCAAUGCCGCGUGAGUGAUGAAGGCCUUAGGGUUGUAAAGCUCUUUUACCCGGGAUGAUAAUGACAGUACCGGGAGAAUAAGCUCCGGCUAACUCCGUG
This 433-nucleotide ribosomal RNA is filed under the name uncultured bacterium. Its description in RNAcentral is "partial 16S ribosomal RNA". It matches the Rfam family "Bacterial small subunit ribosomal RNA", at positions 29 to 507 of the family's 1533-position model. The record is from RNAcentral.